GGAUUGGGGUCGGGUUGGUUGCGGUGAAGUGUAAGAAGCUUCGGAGUUUGGAUCUCUCCUACACCAUGAUCACAAAGAAGUGCCUUCCUGCUGUCAUGCAAUUACCAUGUCUUGAAGAUUUAGCUUUAGCUGGAUGUCUUGGAAUAAAUGAUCAGGCACUUUUGAGUCUUAAACAGGGAUGCAUGUCAUUAGGGGUACUUGAUGUUUCAAACUGUCAGCAUGUCACUCAUCUUGGAUUAUCUUCAAUAUUAAGUAGAGCUCGGGUUUAUGCCAACUAAAUUUAGUGUACUUCUGUCCUUUUACUCAAUCUCUGGCCAGCAACUUACAGAAAUCUCGAAACUGCAGUCAAUCAGACUAGAUGGCUGCCAGUCACGUCAGCUGGAUUAAAGGCCAUUGCUAAAUCUUGCACAUCUCUGAAGGAGCUUAGCUUGAGCAUGCUCAGGAGUAAUGAUGAAGGUCUCUCAUCUGUUUGUUUUUGCUUUUUUCCUGUUUUCUUUAACUAUUUUGCUUCCUAUGCUGUGGGAUAGUUUUUGUACCGAAAUUUAAGAAAUUUUGUAUUUAGUAUGUUAAGUUUUCAUGUGUUUUA
This is a long non-coding RNA of Ananas comosus (pineapple), 586 nucleotides long. RefSeq lists it as uncharacterized. NCBI's taxonomy places the organism in Eukaryota, Viridiplantae, Streptophyta, Magnoliopsida, Poales, Bromeliaceae. The transcript is spliced from 4 exons. The record is from RefSeq and is a predicted model, not a curated record.